This 509-nucleotide long non-coding RNA is filed under the name Ananas comosus (pineapple). RNAcentral's name for it is "long non-coding RNA (ACOM_LNC027307)". The record is from RNAcentral. Lineage: Eukaryota; Viridiplantae; Streptophyta; Magnoliopsida; Poales; Bromeliaceae.
UUUUAGGAAUCUUUUUAUCGGAGAUGAAUGUUGAGGGCUUGAUUAUUUCACUGAAAUUGAUUUUUGGAUUGAAAUGGAGUUCGAUAAAAAUUAUUUUUUUUCUACUAUUUAUUUCAUAAAAAAUAUAAAAUUAUUAUUUAUUCUUAGUAGAAAGGUAAUUAGCUGCAUGAUCUUAUUAUAUAUAUUACUCCUCAAUUUCAAUUACAGAUGUUAAUGGGUCAAAUUCGAAACGAAUUAUCAAUAACCCGAACCCCAACCCAACAAUCAAAUGCGAACUGAAUCCGACGGAGUUUAAAAAUCUAUAUUAAACCCGAACCCAACAAAAAAAUCGGAAAUCCAACCUAAACCCAAAAAUCUGAACCUAAAAUAAUUAUUUCUCUUUACCAUAUAUCAAAACAUAUUAUAUUAAAAUCUAAAAUUUUAAAAUGCAAAUUCUAAUGCUACAUCAAAUAUUCAUCUAUGUAUAAUAUAAUCUAUUCGGGUUCGGGACAAAAUCCAUAACCGAAAUC